AAGACAUGGACCCCAAACCAGGUGCACAAUGCUGUCAAAGCAUACACAGAGGCUGCUACCCCAACUCUACAGAAAGAACAACAGGAGCUGCAAAACCCCACACAACCCAUUGGUAUGGCAAUCCAUAAUCCCUGCAUUUCAAAUCUUACUAUGUCUAUCCCAGCAUCUUUAACAGGGCCCAGAUGUUAUGUUGAUGCAUCCACGUUGCCGGAUCAGAAUCACCCCUUCAUUCGACUUGCAGGUAUUGGAAUCUUUUUUAUUGAUGUGCAGGUGCAGCCUCCGAUCAAAAUACUUGUUAAGGCGCGUGUCGAACAAGUCUCUUCUGUCCUCAUGGCGGAAGCAGCGACUGCUGCUCUAGCAGCUCAACUCUUGCAUCUCCUCCAAGCACAAAAUUCUUACAUUCUUUCAGAUUGCUAGCAGCUGGUCCUAUUCCUAAAUCAGGAAUCUGUCGCCCACCCCCCGG
This 463-nucleotide long non-coding RNA is filed under the name Sorghum bicolor (sorghum). RNAcentral describes it as "long non-coding RNA (SBIC_LNC007539)". The record is from RNAcentral. Lineage: Eukaryota; Viridiplantae; Streptophyta; Magnoliopsida; Poales; Poaceae.